AGUGAACGCUGGCGGUAGGCCUAACACAUGCAAGUCGAACGGCAGCACAGUAAGAGCUUGCCCUUACGGGUGGCGAGUGGCGGACGGGUGAGGAAUACAUCGGAAUCUACUUUUUCGUGGGGGAUAACGUAGGGAAACUUACGCUAAUACCGCAUACGACCUACGGGUGAAAGCAGGGGAUCUUCGGACCUUGCGCGAUUGAAUGAGCCGAUGUCGGAUUAGCUAGUUGGCGGGGUAAAGGCCCACCAAGGCGACGAUCCGUGGCUGGUCUGAGAGGAUGAUCAGCCACACUGGAACUGAGACACGGUCCAGACUCCUACGGGAGGCAGCAGUGGGGAAUAUUGGACAAUGGGCGCAAGCCUGAUCCAGCCAUACCGCGUGGGUGAAGAAGGCCUUCGGGUUGUAAAGCCCUUUUGUUGGGAAAGAAAAGCAGCAGGUUAAUACCCCGCUGUUCUGACGGUACCCAAAGAAUAAGCACCGGCUAACUUCGUG
Molecule: ribosomal RNA, 492 nt
Filed under: uncultured bacterium
Lineage: Bacteria
Description: partial 16S ribosomal RNA
Rfam family: Bacterial small subunit ribosomal RNA
Source: RNAcentral